Molecule: ribosomal RNA, 254 nt
Filed under: uncultured bacterium
Lineage: Bacteria
Description: partial 16S ribosomal RNA
Rfam family: Bacterial small subunit ribosomal RNA
Source: RNAcentral
UACAGAGGUCUCAAGCGUUGUUCGGAUUUACUGGGCGUAAAGGGCGCGUAGGCGGCGCGAUAAGUUGGGCGUGAAAGGCCCGGGCUCAACCCGGGGACUGCGCUUGAUACUGUCGCGCUGUGAGUCCGGGAGAGGAUGGCGGAAUUCCCAGUGUAGAGGUGAAAUUCGUAGAUAUUGGGAAGAACACCGGUGGCGAAGGCGGCCAUCUGGACCGGCACUGACGCUGAGGCGCGAAAGCGUGGGGAGCAAACAGG